Molecule: ribosomal RNA, 757 nt
Filed under: Meloidogyne javanica (root-knot nematode)
Lineage: Eukaryota; Metazoa; Nematoda; Chromadorea; Rhabditida; Meloidogynidae
Description: eukaryotic LSU rRNA
Rfam family: Eukaryotic large subunit ribosomal RNA
Source: RNAcentral
AGGUUACCCGAGGGAAAGUUGCAAAGCACUUUGAAGAGAGAGUUAAAGAGGACGUGAAACCGGUAAGGUGGAAACGGAUAGAGUCGGCGUAUCAUUCAAGUAUUCAGUUACAUUAUUUUUAUGUUGUGACCUCUGAGCUCCAGAUUGGGACAGAGGGAAUCAGCAUAAUUUUUUGUGGUGCAUUUACUUGAUUGGUGCUUGGGGAUGUUUGAGGCAGAUUUGUUUCCGUCGUUUUGAGGCCAGCUUGCUGGUACCCAAACGGUGUUAGCAUUUUUUGUCUUGGGCAUUUGAGUAUGGCUCACGUGUAUUUAUUGGACAGAUCUGAGUGUAAGUUACGGUCGCAUGCGACACGUGCUUUUCAAUUAGUUCGGUCCAGUUAAUGCUCUCGUACUCGUUCCCCAUGUAAAAGCCGGUCAUCUAUCCGACCCGUCUUGAAACACGGACCAAGGAGUUUAUCGUGUGCGCAAGUUUUUGGGUGUUAAAAACUUAAAAGCGAAAUGAAAGUAAAUGACUCUUUAGAGUCUGAUGUGCGAUCUUGUAAAAAAGUGUAGCAUGGCCCCAUUCUAACUGUUUACAGUAGGGUGGCGGAAGAGCGUACGCGGUGAGACCCGAAAGAUGGUGAACUAUUCCUGAGCAGGACGAAGCCAGAGGAAACUCUGGUGGAAGUCCGAAGCGGUUCUGACGUGCAAAUCGAUCGUCUGACUUGGGUAUAGGGGCGAAAGACUAAUCGAACCAUCUAGUAGCUGUUCCCGUCCGA